This 3748-nucleotide long non-coding RNA is filed under the name Homo sapiens (human). RNAcentral describes it as "LHRI_LNC1267.31". The record is from RNAcentral. Lineage: Eukaryota; Metazoa; Chordata; Mammalia; Primates; Hominidae.
ACAAAACCCGGAAGGACCCCGCCGAAGGUUUUCUCCGGUUCGGGAGAGAGACGGAGUCCCGCUCUGUCACGCAGGCUGCCAGGCUGGCGUACAGUGGCGCAAUCUCAGCUCGCUGCAACCUCCACCUCCUGGGUUCAAGCGAUUUUCUUGCCUCUGCCUCCUGAGUAGCUGGGAUUACUGGCACACACCACCAUGCACAGUUCCUUGUUCAAAAUGCCAAGAACCUGGAUGACUCAUAGUCAAGACCCUCCACCAGUAACAUAUAUUGGCGAGCCAGCCAGGAGACCACUACAGGAAACACUCCAUUUAUUCCACCUGACUUCCCACUUGGCUGCAUCCUCAACCAUUGAAAUGAAUUUGACCCUGAUAAUCUAAGGAGGAAACAUUUGAUAUUCUUUUGCAAUAAUACUUGGCCCCAGUAUUGUUUGGAAUCUGGAGUUUGCUGUUGAAUGGGAAAGCAGGAUGACGUUGCAUGUAUCCAGGCUUUGGUGCUGCUGUCCUAAGAAGGGUCAGGCCUAGUCAGCAUAUGGUGCUCUCCUUUGGUGCUAUUUGGCUCCAGUGUCUUUGGAGUCUGAGGAGGUUUGGCCUUUAAAAAUCAAACUGCCACCGGAACUGCUUUAAAAAUGUUUGGUUCACAGCCUUCACUGGAUUACCUAUUGGAGCAAACAAAGUGUAACCAUGUAAAACCUGUGAGCUUGUAUUGAUAUCUCAUGGCUAGAGUUCCAAGCGAAUGGGUCUCAUGAGAUCUGAUGGUUUUGAAAAUGGGAGUUGCCCUGCACAAGCUCUCCUUUUGCCUGCUGCCAUCCACAUAAGAUGUGAUUUGCUCUUCCUUGCCUUCCACCAUGAUUGUGAGGCCUUCCCAGCAUGUGGAAAUGGUCCAGCCUGCAAUAACUGAAGCCCCCAGACCUGGAACCUGAAGAUCCCAUCAGCCACUAAACCUGUGAACCUGUAGAAGACCUGAAGUACCUGUUUAAAAGGCAGCCAAAAGAUAAGUAAAUUCCUAUCAACUUUCCUUGGUGUCCUUCUUGUAUAUUUACUGUAAGCUGGAUAUAAUAGUAGCCAUUUUUAUAUUUUUACAAUUUAAUUGCUUUCUUCCAAAUGGAUUGAAUCACUUCUUUUAAAGUGUUUUAAUUAAUUUUUAUCUAUAGAACAAAAUAACAAAUAAGUAUUUUUUUUUUAUACCAUAAUGGUCACCCACAGCCUGUGUAUACUAAGACCAUGCAUACUGAUAAUCAGCUUUAUUUUACAAAAGAGUUUCGCUUUACCCCUCUGGUAAUUAAUGGAUUCUGGGUAUUUAUUAAAAACUUUAACACAAAGACUGUUAAAUACCACCAGUCCAGCUUUGGCAAGGCACUGUUGGCUUUGUUUAUCUCCAUCAUCAUCCAAACAGACUACCAAUCCUGAUCCCAGCCCAAUCUUGGGCCCUUGAAAAAAUAACUUAACAUCCUAACUACAAGGGAGAAACUCCUUUCAAAUUAAUGAACCUGGCUGACUUAUAUAGCCUUAAAAUUAUGGAAAUGACAAGGGUUACAAUGUCAGAAUGAGCAGUAAACCUUCCCCAGUCCUAUCAGAGCAAACUUUCUGGGGUUGCAUCCCCUCAGAAACCCAUUUGGGGCCCAAUCUCAAUGCACAUAUCAGUGCGCAAAGCACUAAAAUUCCAGGCAACACUUUGUAUUGAGAGAAGCCAAAAUUUUGGUCCCGCCCUGGGACAUCUAAAGUCACCAAUGUAACUACACCAUACAGAUUAAACCCUCACAUGAUCAUGUAAGCUAUGCAGUUACCCAAGCUGCAUCAUUUAGAAAACCUGUACAGUUUUUAUGGAAACCAUCCCUAGUCAAGGACACUUUAAAUAUAUAGUCUAAAUACCGUUAAGGUAGGCCCACUAGCUGUGUUCACAUUUUCCCUUGGCCACCUUACCAGGGACUUUAAUAACUUGGGAAAGUGAAAACAACAAGCUAACCCACAUGUUCACCAUAGAAAACAAUUUUGUCUUGAAAAACAAGGACUCUUUUUCCCGUGUGGGACCAGUUCCUACUUAUGUUUUACCAGCCAAUUGGACUGGAACCUAUACAGUUGUUUAUUUAGCCCCCGAAAUUAAUAUAGCUCCCAACAACCAAUCCUUCAUUAUACUUUUAACUGCAACCACCAGACACAAAUGAGCCAUCCAACUGAUACCACUUUCGGUAGAGCUAGGAAUAACAGCAGGAGUAGGAAUGAGAGUUAGCAGCCUUGCAGUUUCCCUAUCCUAUUACCAAUGCUUGUCCAAGGAUUUUAUGGAAAGCUUAGGUGACAUUGCCCAAAAGUAUCAUCACCUUACAAAAUCAGAUAGAGUCUUUGGCAGUGGUGGCUUUGUAAAAUAGAAGGGGACUGGAUCUCCUAAAUGCUGAAGAAGGUGGCUUAUGUCUUUUUCCUAGAGGAAGAAUGCUGUUUUUAUGUCAACCAAACAGGAUUAGUAAGGGAUGCCACCCAAAAACUAGCCGAUUGGUACCAUAAGAUAUGACAACAGCUGUCUGAGUCAUGGGGCGCCUAGUCAAAAUGCUAAUUUGGGGCUCACAUCUCCUUCCUCUGGCCAGUCCACUAUUAAUUAUUAUACUUGCCUUGGCUUUUGGAUCAUGUUUGUUAAAUCUUUUAACCAGAUUUAUUUCUUCUUGCCUAGAGACCAUUAUGAUAAUGCAGCAGGGCCACCAGUCAGUUUCAGAUAAUGAUGUCAACCCCGGCCACCAAGAAGUAACCUUGUCUCCACUAGACAGAGCAGGUUGCAGGAAUUUAGCCAAUUCAGAGGUCUUGUUCUCCAUAAUUUGGAAUUUUCCUUCGGAUUUGAUCAAGUUGGAUAGAGUUGGUCAAACCCAAUGGGAAAAAGAUGAAAACAACAAGAAACAGAAACAAACAGCAACAACAACAACAACAAAAACAAUGCAUUUAAUUAAAUGAAGAUGAGCUCAUGCUGGAGUAGGGUGGACUCUGAACCCAGUGGGACAAGCGUCCUUAUUAAGAAGAGGGAAAUCUGGACACACACAGAGCAGAGACCGCCGUGUGAAGAUGGAGGCAGAGAUCGGAGAGAUGCUGCCACACGCCACAAAUGCCUGGGGCUCCCAGAAACUACACGGAGCCUCCCCCAGCGGCUUCAGCAGGAGCAUGGCUCGGCCAACACUUUGAUCUUGGUCUUCCAGCCUCCAGAACGUUUUCCUAAAAUUCCCUUUUCCACUGGUGUGUGGUGCAAGAUGAGGCACAUUUUCCAUGGAUGGUGAACAGAGGGAGGAGCCUUUUGAUCACAACCAGGUCACCCCACUUCUAAGCCACUGUGCCUCCAGCCCCACAAGACUAAGGAGAGAGAGCGCAGCGUGGUGGAGAGUGAGCUGUGCUGGGACCAUUGUUUCCGUAACCUCGUUUUCUGUGUCCAGCUGACACACCUUCAAAGUGGCAUCAGGUCCUAAACUGUAGCUUGCAAUGUGCCUGUUUCCAGAAACCAAGGUGAAAGUGCUUUUAGACAGUGUUCCCAUGCAAGAGUCCCUUCCCAGCUUUUUUCUGGAAAUGCAUGUUUCUCUGAACUCUGAGUCCCAAGAAAAAUCACUUGAGACACCAAGAAAAUGGGGGAAGUGCUAAAAUUGUGUGGGAAUUCAAGCUUAACAAUAAACAUCAAGACAUUUUUGAUAAAAAUGAAUCCACUGACAUCGGGGAGGAGCAAGAGAACAGCACGCUGACACUGGGUCAGAGGCUAAGACCGACAUUUCUGGGAACCACUCCCGGA